ACGCUUGACACCUACGGGAGCAGCAGUAGGGAAUCUUCCACAAUGGACGCAAGUCUGAUGGAGCAACGCCGCGUGAGUGAAGAAGGUUUUCGGAUCGUAAAGCUCUGUUGUUGGUGAAGAAGGAUAGAGGUAGUAACUGGCCUUUAUUUGACGGUAAUCAACCAGAAAGUCACGGCUAACUACGUGCCACAGCCGCGGUAAUCUGAGCGGGCUGGCAAGGC
RNAcentral lists this ribosomal RNA (221 nucleotides) under uncultured bacterium. RNAcentral describes it as "partial 16S ribosomal RNA". It matches the Rfam family "Bacterial small subunit ribosomal RNA", at positions 328 to 539 of the family's 1533-position model. The record is from RNAcentral.